Molecule: long non-coding RNA, 1610 nt
Filed under: Homo sapiens (human)
Lineage: Eukaryota; Metazoa; Chordata; Mammalia; Primates; Hominidae
Description: HSALNT0325160
Source: RNAcentral
AUACUCCCAUCUGUCAUGGCAGCUGCAGCAAGCCUCACCCAAGGAGAGUCUGGCUGGAGGCCAAACAACACAAAACCAGCACACUUAACAAAAAUAUAACCAAUGACCCUUGCAGAGUCCACUUAACUCCCCUCCACCAGAGCAGGUGCUGGUAUCCACAGCUGAGAGACCUGAAGAUGGAUCACAUCACAGGACUCCUUGCAGACAUUCUCCAGUACCAGCCCAGAGCCUGGUAGGUCUGUUGGGUGGCUAGACCAGUAUUCUAAGUGAAGUAACUCGGAAAUGGAAAACCAAACAUCAUCUGUUCUCACUCAUCAGUAGGAGCUAAGCUAUGAGAACACAAAGGUAUAAAAAUGAUACAAUGGACUUUGGGGACUUGGGGGAAAGGGUGGGUGAGGGUUGGGAUAAAAGACUACACAUUGGGUACAGUGUACACUGCUUAGGUGAUGGCUGCACCAGAAUCUCAGAAAUCACCACGGAAAACUUAUCCAUGUAACCAAGCACCACCUGUUCCCCAAAAACCUAUUGGAAAAAAUAAAGGACAACAUGGAUGAAACUGGAGAUUAUUAUGUUAAAUGAAAUAAGCUAGGCACAGAAAGACAAACAUCACAUGUUCUCACUUACUUGUAGGUUUUUUCACUUACUUAUAGAGGUGGGGAUGGUUAAUGUGUACAAAAAAAUGGAUGAAUAAUACCUACUGUUUGAUAGCAGAACAAGGUGGCUAUAGUCAAUAGUAACUCAACUGUACAUUUUAAAAUAACCUGAGUGUACUUGGAUUGUUUGUAACUCAAAGGAUAAAUGCUUGAGGGGACGGAUGACCCAUUAUUCAUGAUGUGCUUAUUUCACAUUGCAUGCCUGUAUCAAAACAUCUCAUGUACACCAGAAAUAUAUACACUUACUACAUACUCACACAUUUUUUUUUAAAAAAGAAUUAUCUGAUAUAUUUCAAAAUGGUUACUUUUCCCUUCUACCUGCUGAAGACACGAGUGAUUUUUUCUCCGAUAGCCACCGUGAGAACCUGGUUAAGCUCCAUGAGAUUAAAAUUUUCAAAGGUGGUGAGGGGUAUGGGGAGGUGGGGACUGAUCACUGUAUUGAUCUGUAGUUUUUAACUUUCAGACCUGUCCACGCUGAGUUUAUAGCAACUGUCAAUUACGGUUCAGAUUUUCCUACCCCAGCGUGACUUUCCAAAGAGGCUUCUGCUCAUGGAUUUCUGCUCCAAUGCAACAGGAAGGUCCUCACAAGAUGGCUGAACAGAUGCAGGUGCUGUGCCUCUGGACUGCCUAGCCUCCAGAACUGAGGUGUUGGAAGCUGUGAAUGUGGAUGAAAGUACCAAUAUAGAGAGAACAGAGUGAGAAUAGAAGACAGCCCAAGAAUCUAAAGUCAUGCACUUGCAAGGGAGUCAGAGGAAGAGAGGUAAGAAGGAAAAUGGUUCAUUGUUUCCAUCAUGUACUCUAUGGAAUACAAAGCUCUGAAACCUGUUGGCUACUGGAAGUGUACAAGAAAAAGACUCUCAAGCUAGAGGUGGGGUAGAGCUGGAGCCAGCCAUGUCAAGAUCUUUCGAGGACAUGAACAUUUUUUAUGCUUAUUAAAAGAUGAUGUGGUUUUAAAAU